This 1277-nucleotide long non-coding RNA is filed under the name Olea europaea subsp. europaea. The record is from RNAcentral. Lineage: Eukaryota; Viridiplantae; Streptophyta; Magnoliopsida; Lamiales; Oleaceae.
GUUUGGUGUGGUCAGUAUACAGUUUGGCGGGACGUAGACUACUUUAAUUUUGGUAGCUCUUUUAGUGACCAACACUGUGGUCGCCGUAUAUUUAUGCCUCCAGCGACCAAUUUCUGGUCACUGGAACCUUUGCCAAGGGAAAAUACCCCGCAUCCCCACCUAAGUAUCUAACAUGUUGGUGACCAACUUUCUAGUCGCUGCAUAUGUAUAGAGAUAAUCCUUCAACGACCAAGAUUUGGUCACUGGUGCCGUUCCCUGCCUAAAUUUUUAACACCUUUAGCAACUAACCAAGUGGUCGUUGCUAAUUGUGUUACUAAAUAUGGCUGGUUUGUUAAAUCCUUUGAACCAUUUAUCUAUCAGGAUAUAAUAUGCUACUAUCCUAGAAGUGAUAAAUCCCAUCUCGAUCACUUUUCAUAUGGCACUUGUCACGCUCAAUUGGUGUUGUAUAAGUAAUGUCAAUAUUUACGGUCGACAUAUUUGAAGUAUGAUGACCUACAAUUGAGAAUUUAUGAUCAAUUUGAUGAUCCACCCAAUUGCCAUUAAUUGUCAUGGUCAAUACUUACUCAAAACCAACCCAAUCGAUUUCGGUUACUUCUAAUCCAAACUGAACCACAAAGAUUUGAAAACAAUUUGAUCAAGAACAUAUUUUGUCAUUUAUUCUUUCAGUAGUUUCAAUUAGGACUUUGGCCCAAAUCAAUUAACUAUCAAACAAUUUCAAGAUAAAUUCCAUUUUCAACGUCAAUAUAACAUCUUGGUUAAAAUGAAAAAAAAAGAAAAAAAAAGAAAAAAGAAAAAGAAAAGAAGUAAUACAAUCGUCCUUUUCCAUUCGUUAUCCAUUUUAAUACAAUGUAAAGAUGAAAGAUUCCAGUUUCGAUUUUUGCUUUAGUAAGCACGUCCAAUCAUUAACUCCUUGAGUCGUUGUCGCCUUUUCUAAUACCAUCUCAUUAUCCCAAUUGUAGGAAAUAAAUCCAUCUUGCAACGUGACAGCUGAGGCUACCCCAUUGUUUUUUUUUUUUGGUGCUGUCAAUUGAUGCCUAAAUUAACCUUCUUAAGCCAUACUAUCACCAACAAUGGUUAUACAAAUUUAAUUGGCUCAAUAAACAAAUUAACACAAAGCUAUAUUUACUUGGCAAUUUCAUAAAGUGGAAAUUACGAGUUUUUGACAUUUCAAGAUCACAAUGCAAAAAUUAGUUGAGAAGAUUUUUUAUUCACAAUUCAGGUAUUGAUUGAACUAUUAAUAUUAAUAAUAUUUAAUAUAAAAUAUAUCAACCCCAAUU